CAGACAUAUAAAGUGGCUUCUCCGGAUACACCAUUACAGAAUGGAACAGUCAUAGGCUAGUUGUAAGUUAACGCUUCACCAGGGAAAGAUGCGUAGCGACCUGAGAGGGGUGAUCGGCAACACUUGGAACUGAGAACACGCCCAGACUCUACGGAAGCAGCAGUAGGGAAUCUCGCAAUGACGAAGUCGACGAGCAACGCGCCUGAGUGAUGAAGGUUUUCGAUCGUAAGCUCUGUUGUAGGGAAGAACAAGUGCCGUUCAAAUAGGGCGGCACCUUGACGGUACCUAACCAGAAAGCCACGGCUAACUACGUGCCAGCAGCCGCGGUAAUACGUAGGUGGCAAGCGUUGUCCAGAAUUAUUGGGCGUAAAGGGCUCGCAGGCGGUUUCUUAAGUCUGAUGUGAAAGCCCCCGGCUCAACCGGGGAGGGUCAUUGGAAACUGGGGAACUUGAGUGCAGAAGAGGAGAGUGGAAUUCCACGUGUAGCGGUGAAAUGCGUAGAGAUGUGGAGGAACACCAGUGGCGAAGGCGACUCUCUGGUCUGUAACUGACGCUGAGGAGCGAAAGCGUGGGGAGCGAACAGGAUUAGAUACCCUGGUAGUCCACGCCGUAAACGAUGAGUGCUAAGUGUUAGGGGGUUUCCGCCCCUUAGUGCUGCAGCUAACGCAUUAAGCACUCCGCCUGGGGAGUACGGUCGCAAGACUGAAACUCAAAGGAAUUGACGGGGGCCCGCACAAGCGGUGGAGCAUGUGGUUUAAUUCGAAGCAACGCGAAGAACCUUACCAGGUCUUGACAUCCUCUGACAAUCCUAGAGAUAGGACGUCCCCUUCGGGGGCAGAGUGACAGGUGGUGCAUGGUUGUCGUCAGCUCGUGUCGUGAGAUGUUGGGUUAAGUCCCGCAACGAGCGCAACCCUUGAUCUUAGUUGCCAGCAUUCAGUUGGGCACUCUAAGGUGACUGCCGGUGACAAACCGGAGGAAGGUGGGGAUGACGUCAAAUCAUCAUGCCCCUUAUGACCUGGGCUACACACGUGCUACAAUGGACAGAACAAAGGGCAGCGAAACCGCGAGGUUAAGCCAAUCCCACAAAUCUGUUCUCAGUUCGGAUCGCAGUCUGCAACUCGACUGCGUGAAGCUGGAAUCGCUAGUAAUCGCGGAUCAGCAUGCCGCGGUGAAUACGUUCCCGGGCCUUGUACACACCGCCCGUCACACCACGAGAGUUUGUAACACCCGAAGUCGGUGAGGUAACCUUUAGGAGCCAGCCGCCGAAGGUGCACCAG
Molecule: ribosomal RNA, 1276 nt
Filed under: uncultured bacterium
Lineage: Bacteria
Description: bacterial SSU rRNA
Rfam family: Bacterial small subunit ribosomal RNA
Source: RNAcentral